RNAcentral lists this ribosomal RNA (378 nucleotides) under uncultured eukaryote. Its description in RNAcentral is "partial 18S ribosomal RNA". It matches the Rfam family "Eukaryotic small subunit ribosomal RNA", at positions 592 to 975 of the family's 1831-position model. The record is from RNAcentral.
CAAUAGCGUAUAUUUUAGUUGUUGCAGUUAAAAAGCUCGUAGUUGAAUUUCUGGUGAGCGAGAGUGGUCCGAUCAAUGAUUGGUGCUUGCUCUCGCUGGCCAUCCUUGGGUUUAGCCAGUCUGGCAUUAAGUUGUCGGGCUGGGGAUGCCCAUCGUUUACUGUGAAAAAAUUAGAGUGUUCAAAGCAGACUUAUGUCGUUGAAUAUAUUAGCAUGGAAUAAUAAGAUAGGACUACAGUGCUAUUUUGUUGAUUUGCGCACCGUGGUAAUGAUGAAUAGGGACAGUUGUGGGUAUUCGUAUUCACUUGUAAGAGGUGAAAUUCUUAGAUUAAGGGAAGACGAACUACUGCGAAAGCAUUUACCAAGGAUGUUUUCAUUA